AUUGAACGCUGGCGGCAGGCCUAACACAUGCAAGUCGAACGAGUGGCGGACGGGUGAGUAAUGCCUGGGAAACUGCCUGAUGGAGGGGGAUAACUACUGGAAACUGUAGCUAAUACCGCAUACCAUCGGAUGUGCCCAGGUGGGAUUAGGUUGUUGGUGGGGUAACGGCUCACCAAGGCGACGAUCCCUAGCUGGUCUGAGAGGAUGACCAGCCACACUGGAACUGAGACACGGUCCAGACUCCUACGGGAGGCAGCAGUGGGGAAUAUUGCGAAAUGGGGGCAACCCUGAUGCAGCCAUGCCGCGUGUAUGAAGAAGGCCUUCGGGUUGUAAAGUUCUUUCAGUGGGGAGGCGUUAACUGCAGAAGAAGCACCGGCUAACUCCGUGCCAGCAGCCGCGGUAAUAC
Molecule: ribosomal RNA, 406 nt
Filed under: uncultured bacterium
Lineage: Bacteria
Description: partial 16S ribosomal RNA
Rfam family: Bacterial small subunit ribosomal RNA
Source: RNAcentral